CGGCUCCUAUCUUCGGAUAGAAGCGAGUGGCGAACGGCUGAGUAACACGUGGAGAACCUGCCCCCUCCCCCGGGAUAGCCGCCCGAAAGGACGGGUAAUACCGGAUACCCCGGGGUGCCGCAUGGCACCCCGGCUAAAGCCCCGACGGGAGGGGAUGGCUCCGCGGCCCAUCAGGUAGACGGCGGGGUGACGGCCCACCGUGCCGACAACGGGUAGCCGGGUUGAGAGACCGACCGGCCAGAUUGGGACUGAGACACGGCCCAG
RNAcentral lists this ribosomal RNA (264 nucleotides) under uncultured bacterium. RNAcentral's name for it is "partial 16S ribosomal RNA". It matches the Rfam family "Bacterial small subunit ribosomal RNA", at positions 67 to 334 of the family's 1533-position model. The record is from RNAcentral.